RNAcentral lists this ribosomal RNA (251 nucleotides) under uncultured prokaryote. RNAcentral describes it as "partial 16S rRNA". It matches the Rfam family "Bacterial small subunit ribosomal RNA", at positions 525 to 775 of the family's 1533-position model. The record is from RNAcentral.
ACGGAGGGUGCAAGCGUUACUCGGAAUCACUGGGCGUAAAGAGCGUGUAGGCGGAUAGGUAAGUCAGAAGUGAAAUCCAAUAGCUCAACUAUUGAACUGCUUUUGAAACUGCUUAUCUAGAAUAUGGGAGAGGUAGAUGGAAUUUCUGGUGUAGGGGUAAAAGCCGUAGAGAUCAGAAGGAGUACCGAUUGCGAAGGCGAUCUACUGGAACAUUAUUGACGCUGAGCCGCGAAAGCGUGGAGAGCAAACAG